GGGGGCGUUUGGAUUCGACUCCGAGAAGCAGAAUAUCGUCGCGUGCCGGAGAUGGGUGGUUGGCUCCGCUAAAAAUCCAUCCGAUUGUCAUAACUGGCAAAAACAACAAAAAGAAUCGCAGGACUACGUUCCGCCUUCUGCCAAAGGCGGCGGUGCGGAUGGCAGCCUGAAGUUCGAAUGCUCCGCAGUGGCGGGGCACACCACGGUGGUCGACGCCCACUGGGUCACCGCGGUGUAGAAAUGUGGGCAUGGCAGGGAGCUGGUGCGACUCCACGCCGUGAAAUAGCACUCGCCGGAGGAAGGGCUGCGUCGCCGCAGAAUUCUUUGGCUAAAUCCAUUCGGUGACUACGCACGUAGGGGUGGUAUUCGAGAGCUCGGAGGACGUGGGUUCGACUCCCACCGCCUCCACCG
This 411-nucleotide small RNA is filed under the name Puniceicoccales bacterium. Its description in RNAcentral is "transfer-messenger RNA". It matches the Rfam family "transfer-messenger RNA". Rfam says of the family: Bacterial tmRNA, also known as 10Sa RNA or SsrA, is named for its dual tRNA and mRNA-like properties. Its role is to liberate the mRNA from a stalled ribosome. The record is from RNAcentral. Lineage: Bacteria; Pseudomonadati; Verrucomicrobiota; Opitutia; Puniceicoccales.